AUUUAAAUAGUUUUAAUUUAAAAUAUUGAAUUGUGGAUUCAAAGAUGUGUAUAUUAACUUUAAAUU
Molecule: transfer RNA, 66 nt
Filed under: Lasioglossum minutissimum
Lineage: Eukaryota; Metazoa; Arthropoda; Insecta; Hymenoptera; Halictidae
Description: tRNA-His
Source: RNAcentral